Molecule: ribosomal RNA, 497 nt
Filed under: uncultured bacterium
Lineage: Bacteria
Description: partial 16S ribosomal RNA
Rfam family: Bacterial small subunit ribosomal RNA
Source: RNAcentral
GAUGAACGCUGGCGGCGUGCCUAAUACAUGCAAGUCGAGCGAACAGAUGAGGCUCUUGCUCCUCUGACGUUAGCGGCGGACGGGUGAGUAACACGUGGAUAACCUACCUAUAAGACUGGGAUAACUUCGGGAAACCGGAGCUAAUACCGGAUAAUAUAUUGAACCGCAUGGUUCAAUAGUGAAAGCCGGUUUUGCUGUCACUUAUAGAUGGAUCCGCGCCGCAUUAGCUAGUUGGUAAGGUAACGGCUUACCAAGGCAACGAUGCGUAGCCGACCUGAGAGGGUGAUCGGCCACACUGGAACUGAGACACGGUCCAGACUCCUACGGGAGGCAGCAGUGGGGAAUCUUCCGCAAUGGGCGAAAGCCUGACGGAGCAACGCCGCGUGAGUGAUGAAGGUCUUCGGAUCGUAAAACUCUGUUAUUAGGGAAGAACAAAUGUGUAAGUAACUAUGCACGUCUUGACGGUACCUAAUCAGAAAGCCACGGCUAACUACGUG